This 466-nucleotide ribosomal RNA is filed under the name uncultured bacterium. RNAcentral's name for it is "bacterial SSU rRNA". It matches the Rfam family "Bacterial small subunit ribosomal RNA", at positions 338 to 795 of the family's 1533-position model. The record is from RNAcentral.
CCUACGGGGUGCAGCAGUCGAGAGGCUUCGGCAAUGGGGGAAACCCUGACCGAGCGACGCCGCGUGGAGGAUGAAGGCCUUUGGGUUGUAAACUCCUGUCAUGUGGGAAGAAACGCUACCGUUCGAAUAGGGCGGUAGUUUGACGGUACCACAAGAGGAAGCUCCGGCUAACUCCGUGCCAGCAGCCGCGGUAAUACGGGGGGAGCGAACGUUGUUCGGAAUCACUGGGCGUAAAGGGUGCGUAGGCGGCCAAGUAAGUGAUGUGUUAAAUCCUCCGGCUCAACCGGAGAACCGCAUGUCAUACUGCUUGGGUUGAGUGCAGCAGAGGAGACUGGAAUUCCCGGUGUAGCGGUGAAAUGCGUAGAUAGCGGGAGGAACACCAGUGGCGAAGGCGAGUCUCUGGGCUGUUACUGACGCUGAGGCACGAAAGCCAGGGGAGCAAACGGGAUUAGAUACCCCGGUANUC